UGGGGAAUAUUGCACAAUGGAGGGAACUCUGAUGCAGCGACGCCGCGUGAACGAAGAAGGCUUUCGAGUCGUAAAGUUCUUUUAUAUGGGAAGAUAAUGACGGUACCAUAAGAAAAAGCCCCGGCUAACUACGUGCCAGCAGCCGCGGUAAUACGUAGGGGGCUAGCGUUUCCCGGAAUCACUGGGCGUAAAGGGUUCGCAGGCGGAAAUGCAAGUCAGGUGUAAAAGGCAGUAGCUUAACUACUGUAAGCAUUUGAAACUGCAUAUCUUGAGAAGAGUAGAGGUAAGUGGAAUUUUUAGUGUAGCGGUGAAAUGCGUAGAUAUUAAAAAGAAUACCGGUGGCGAAGGCGACUUACUGGGCUCAUUCUGACGCUGAGGAACGAAAGCGUGGGUAGCAAACAGG
Molecule: ribosomal RNA, 403 nt
Filed under: bacterium
Lineage: Bacteria
Description: partial 16S ribosomal RNA
Rfam family: Bacterial small subunit ribosomal RNA
Source: RNAcentral